UACAGAGGUCUCAAGCGUUGUUCGGAUUCAUUGGGCGUAAAGGGUGCGUAGGCGGCGCGGUAAGUCGGGUGUGAAAUCUCGGAGCUUAACUCCGAAACUGCAUUCGAUACUGCCGUGCUUGAGGACUGGAGAGGAGACUGGAAUUUACGGUGUAGCGGUGAAAUGCGUAGAUAUCGUAAGGAAGACCAGUGGCGAAAGCGGCUUCCUGGACCAGUACCGACGUUCAGGCACGAAAGCGUGGGGAGCAAACAGG
RNAcentral lists this ribosomal RNA (253 nucleotides) under uncultured bacterium. RNAcentral describes it as "partial 16S ribosomal RNA". It matches the Rfam family "Bacterial small subunit ribosomal RNA", at positions 524 to 776 of the family's 1533-position model. The record is from RNAcentral.